RNAcentral lists this ribosomal RNA (747 nucleotides) under Triticum aestivum (bread wheat). Its description in RNAcentral is "partial small subunit ribosomal RNA". The record is from RNAcentral. Lineage: Eukaryota; Viridiplantae; Streptophyta; Magnoliopsida; Poales; Poaceae.
AUGCACGCCGCCCCCUCAUACGAGGGUAAGAUGCUUUCCGCCUAUCGCACAAAGAUGAGCUUCAUUCAAUUUCGUCUGCAACGGGCUUACAACACAGACUCGCUGGGCUACUUAUCUGAAAUACAUGAUACGGUCCAGGAACACUUCGAUGAAUACUACAAUGCUACAGAGCAGCUGAGUGGCGUCCGUCUUUUAAGGAGUGCAGCUCUGGAUACAGCUGAUAAUGAUCCUUUGGAAGAUUGGGAUGAGCACCUCAAUUGCCAGAUGUCUUCAGAACUUGACGACUACCUUGGGGAGGUUCUAGUCCCAAGAAAAGAUGAUUUUGACAUUCUUAAAUGGUGGAUGGAACACACCACAAAGUACCCCACACUUGCUGCUAUUGCCCGGGACGUCUUAGCGAUGCCGGCAUCUGCUGUUCAAUCUGAAGCAGCAUUCAGUAGCAGCGGGCCAGUAAUUCCAAAGCACCAGAGCACACUGAGUAUCGAGACGAUUGAAGCACUUUUGGAAGGUUUCCAUUCGCCGGAGGACAAACAGGCGUUGGUGGAUGGAGGUGAGAUUCUCCAGGCACUUGCGCCCAGAAGCCGCGAAGCUGCAUCAAGCUCUGAAGAUGAACAAAAAAAUCAUUUGUGGGAUGCUGCUGUGGCCUGCCAUGUUCGGUUUUUGGUUUUGGUUCUAGCCUUUUGGGUGCUCCUCAUGCUGGUUGUGUUGUUCUUCUUCUCUUCACCCCCACACCACCCGCUCACCUAG